This 468-nucleotide ribosomal RNA is filed under the name uncultured bacterium. RNAcentral's name for it is "partial 16S ribosomal RNA". It matches the Rfam family "Bacterial small subunit ribosomal RNA", at positions 28 to 507 of the family's 1533-position model. The record is from RNAcentral.
GACGAACGCUGGCGGCGUGCUUAACACAUGCAAGUCGAACGGAAAGGCCCUGCUUUUGUGGGGUGCUCGAGUGGCGAACGGGUGAGUAACACGUGAGUAACCUGCCCUUGACUUUUGGAUAACUUCAGGAAACUGGGGCUAAUACCGGAUAGGAGCUCCUGCUGCAUGGUGGGGGUUGGAAAGUUUCGGCGGUUGGGGAUGGACUCGCGGCUUAUCAGCUUGUUGGUGGGGUAGUGGCUUACCAAGGCUUUGACGGGUAGUCGGCCUGAGAGGGUGACCGGCCACAUUGGGACUGAGAUACGGCCCAGACUCCUACGGGAGGCAGCAGUGGGGAAUAUUGCACAAUGGGCGGAAGCCUGAUGCAGCAACGCCGCGUGCGGGAUGACGGCCUUCGGGUUGUAAACCGCUUUCGCCUGUGACGAAGCGUGAGUGACGGUAAUGGGUAAAGAAGCACCGGCUAACUACGUG